CCUACGGGUGGCAGCAGUGAGGAAUAUUGGUCAAUGGGCUUACGCCUGAACCAGCAAAGUCGCGUGAGGGAAGACUGCCCUAUGGGUUGUAAACCUCUUUUGUCAGGGAGCAACGCCGGCUACGUGUAGCCGGACUGAGAGUACCUGAAGAAAAAGCAUCGGCUAACUCCGUGCCAGCAGCCGCGGUAAUACGGAGGAUGCGAGCGUUAUCCGGUGUUAUUGGGUUUAAAGAGUGCGUAGGCGGAAUGCCAAGUCAGCGGGAAAAUCGGGGGGCUCAACCUCGCUCCGCCGUUGAAACUGGCGGUCUUGAGUGGGCGAGAAGUAUGCGGAAUGCGUGGUGUAGCGGUGAAAUGCAUAGAUAGCACGCAGAACUCCGAUUGCGAAGGCAGCAGACCGGCGCCCAACUGACGCUGAAGCACGAAAGCGUGGGUAUCGAACAGGAUUAGAUACCCCGGUAGUC
RNAcentral lists this ribosomal RNA (460 nucleotides) under uncultured bacterium. Its description in RNAcentral is "partial 16S ribosomal RNA". It matches the Rfam family "Bacterial small subunit ribosomal RNA", at positions 338 to 795 of the family's 1533-position model. The record is from RNAcentral.